GAAAUCGGGCCUUUGAUUCAUGGAACUUAUUUGCACAGUAUUCGUCUUGUCGCACCGGUAGAAGCCGGUUUGGCUUUGUCCCGAGGUUAGAACUCGGGCCUUUGAUUAAUUGAACUUAUUCGCACAGUAUUCGCCUUGUCGCACCGGUAGAAGCCCGUUUGGCUUUGUCCCGAGGUUAGAACUCGGGCCUUUGAUUCAUCGAACUUAUUUGCACAGUAUUCGUCUUGUCGCAUCGGUAGAAGCCCGCUUGGCUUUGUCCCGAGGUUGGAAAUCGGGCCUUUGAUUCAUGGAACUUAUUUGCACAGUAUUCGUCUUGUCGCAUCGGUAGAAGCCCGCUUGGCUUUGUCCCGAGGUUAGAAAUGGGGCCUUUGAUUCAUUGAACUGAUUUGCACAGUAUUCGUCUUGUCGCAUCGGUAGAAGCCCGCUUGGCUUUGCCCCGAGGUUAGAACUCGGGCCUUUGAUUCAUUGAACUUAUUUGCACAGUGUUCGCCUUGUCGCAUCGGUAGAAGCCCGCUUGGCUUUGCCCCGAGGUUAGAACUCGGGCCUUUGAUUCAUGGAACUUAUUUGCACAGUAUUCGCCUUGGCGCACUGGUAGAAGCCCGCUUGGCUUG
Rhipicephalus sanguineus (brown dog tick) is the source of this 611-nucleotide long non-coding RNA. RefSeq lists it as uncharacterized. Lineage: Eukaryota; Metazoa; Arthropoda; Arachnida; Ixodida; Ixodidae. The transcript is spliced from 5 exons. The record is from RefSeq and is a predicted model, not a curated record.